UGCCGUCUUUAUCUUCUUGAAAGGAAAAAAAGUGGUGAAGGCCAGAUUUUUUGACCGAGCGAAUGGCUGAGUUUGCAGGGCUGAGAGUGAUGCUCCUGGCUGCUGGGUGGAGAUUACGCCUCGAAGACAGACUUUUUAUUUCUCAUAAUUUCAUAUUCAGAGGGCUGGGGCAAAUCACCUAUACUUCAGCAGUUAGAAAUCUUGGUCUGAAAUCCAAUGUCCUGAAGAACAGUGCGAUGAAAUGGAAAUUCUUGUUAAAGUUAAAAAGUCCAGAGGCAGCCUUGAGUUGGAGGCACUUCCCGGUCCCUAUCCGUGGCUGGGACCCGGCUCCAGUCUUCCUCCUCGUCCUCUGUCUCAGUCUCCCAUCCUCAAAG
This is a long non-coding RNA of Lemur catta (Ring-tailed lemur), 374 nucleotides long. RefSeq lists it as uncharacterized. The transcript has 3 exons. Lineage: Eukaryota; Metazoa; Chordata; Mammalia; Primates; Lemuridae. The record is from RefSeq and is a predicted model, not a curated record.